This 450-nucleotide ribosomal RNA is filed under the name uncultured bacterium. RNAcentral describes it as "partial 16S ribosomal RNA". It matches the Rfam family "Bacterial small subunit ribosomal RNA", at positions 354 to 796 of the family's 1533-position model. The record is from RNAcentral.
GUGAGGAAUAUUGGGCAAUGGGCGAAAGCCUGACCCAGCCACGCCGCGUGAGUGAUGAAGGCCCUCGGGUUGUAAACUGCUUUUGUACGGAACGAAAAGCCUGGGGCUAAUAUCCCCGGGUCAUGACGGUACCGUAAGAAUAAGCACCGGCUAACUACGUGCCAGCAGCCGCGGUAAUACGUAGGGUGCAAGCGUUAAUCGGAAUUACUGGGCGUAAAGCGUGCGCAGGCGGUUAUAUAAGACAGAUGUGAAAUCCCCGGGCUCAACCUGGGAACUGCAUUUGUGACUGUAUAGCUAGAGUACGGCAGAGGGGGAUGGAAUUCCGCGUGUAGCAGUGAAAUGCGUAGAUAUGCGGAGGAACACCGAUGGCGAAGGCAAUCCCCUGGGCCUGUACUGACGCUCAUGCACGAAAGCGUGGGGAGCAAACAGGAUUAGAAACCCUAGUAGUCC